ACUUGAUAGACAAAAGCAGAUAGCCAUCAAAGUUAAAUUGGUACGGUGAAGGAAUUGAAAGUUUAAAUAUACGGAAAGUCUUUAUAGUAUUCCAAGUGAAAAUAUCAGCGAAUCGAAAUUUCGCAGUAGCUAAAAGCAGAAUACACUGCACACACGCACAGAAUAGGAGAUUUAUUGAAGAUCCGGGUGACGAGUUAACGAAACCCACAAAACGAGAUUUUCAACCGUUCAACCUCGAGCGGUUCCGAAUAAACGAGUUGAAUUUCCGGAAGUUGGUAUCCUUUCGUUGCGAAAGCAACAGUUUUUUAAAAAUCUCGUUUUCCGGAUCGAUUGGAGAUGUCACGAAGAGAUCGAUCAAGAGAUGCAGCACAGGGAAACGGUCUGUAGCAGUCCUGCCCGCUCUGCCACUUGCCAGAUUCCGACGAAAUGGUCAGCUGUGACGACUGUGAGCGUUGGUAUCACUUCGGCUGCGUAGGAGUGAACGAAGAUGUAGCCAAUCAUGAUUGGAGCUGCCAGGAAUGCAUCAAUGCCAGAGUUCCUGCUCCACAAUCGCCGCAUCCGAGAGCUUCCACAGAUGAGCCAUUACCACACCUUCAGUCAGCAUUACCAGCCCCUCGUCAUCCCACGCCACCAACGUCGAUCAUGCCAGUGCCUUCAUCACGUCUUCACACUCCACGAACGUCAAAUUUACCACCCACUCCACGCCCGCGCACUCCACCGAUUUGCUGAACAAGUUUCCUGAUGAGCUUCGUAUCCAGUUGUUAAAAGAAGAAGAAGCCAUCGAGCGAAAGUUUCUGUUACGUAGGUACCAGCUUUUGCUAGAAUCAUCAGUGCAUACAGUUCCAACUGUU
This is a long non-coding RNA of Toxorhynchites rutilus septentrionalis, 851 nucleotides long. RefSeq lists it as uncharacterized. The record is from RefSeq and is a predicted model, not a curated record. The transcript has 3 exons. NCBI's taxonomy places the organism in Eukaryota, Metazoa, Arthropoda, Insecta, Diptera, Culicidae.